This 429-nucleotide ribosomal RNA is filed under the name Verrucomicrobiota bacterium. RNAcentral's name for it is "Verrucomicrobia bacterium partial 16S ribosomal RNA". It matches the Rfam family "Bacterial small subunit ribosomal RNA", at positions 355 to 776 of the family's 1533-position model. Lineage: Bacteria; Pseudomonadati; Verrucomicrobiota. The record is from RNAcentral.
UAGGGAAUCUUCCGCAAUGGACGAAAGUCUGACGGAGCAACGCCGCGUGAGUGAAGAAGGAUUUCGGUUCGUAAAACUCUGUUGUUAGGGAAGAAAAAAUGUAUAGUAACUAUAUACAAAAGAGACGGUACCUAACCAGAAAGCCACGGCUAACUACGUGCCAGCAGCCGCGGUAAUACGUAGGUGGCAAGCGUUGUCCGGAAUUAUUGGGCGUAAAGCGCGCGCAGGUGGUUUAGAAAGUCUGAUGUGAAAGCCCACGGCUCAACCGUGGAGGGUCAUUGGAAACUAAUAAACUUGAAUGCAGGAGAGAAAAGUGGAAUUCCUAGUGUAGCGGUGAAAUGCGUAGAGAUUAGGAGGAACACCGGUGGCGAAAGCGGCUUUUUGGCCUGCAACUGACACUGAGGCGCGAAAGCGUGGGGAGCAAACAGG